AGCCCUGGAGAGAGAAGCAGGGUCUGAUCCGUAGUCUCCAUGGCAGCUGCUGAUAAGCCUUUGCCUCUCUCUAUCUCUCCA
Non-coding RNA from Myotis brandtii (Brandt's bat), 81 nucleotides. The record is from Rfam. NCBI's taxonomy places the organism in Eukaryota, Metazoa, Chordata, Mammalia, Chiroptera, Vespertilionidae.